This 2927-nucleotide ribosomal RNA is filed under the name Citrobacter freundii. RNAcentral's name for it is "bacterial LSU rRNA". It matches the Rfam family "Bacterial large subunit ribosomal RNA". RNAcentral also lists the same sequence under 1 other name. The record is from RNAcentral. Lineage: Bacteria; Pseudomonadati; Pseudomonadota; Gammaproteobacteria; Enterobacterales; Enterobacteriaceae.
GGGUUGUGAGGUUAAGCGACUAAGCGUACACGGUGGAUGCCCUGGCAGUCAGAGGCGAUGAAGGACGUGCUAAUCUGCGAUAAGCGUCGGUAAGGUGAUAUGAACCGUUAUAACCGGCGAUUUCCGAAUGGGGAAACCCAGUGUGAUUCGUCACACUAUCAUUACGUGAAUACAUAGCGUAAUGAAGCGAACCGGGGGAACUGAAACAUCUAAGUACCCCGAGGAAAAGAAAUCAACCGAGAUUCCCCCAGUAGCGGCGAGCGAACGGGGAGCAGCCCAGAGUCUGAAUCAGCUUGUGUGUUAGUGGAACGGUCUGGAAAGUCCGACGGUACAGGGUGAUAGUCCCGUACACCAAAAUGCACAGGUUGUGAACUCGAAGAGUAGGGCGGGACACGUGGUAUCCUGUCUGAAUAUGGGGGGACCAUCCUCCAAGGCUAAAUACUCCUGACUGACCGAUAGUGAACCAGUACCGUGAGGGAAAGGCGAAAAGAACCCCGGCGAGGGGAGUGAAAAAGAACCUGAAACCGUGUACGUACAAGCAGUGGGAGCCUCUUUAUGGGGUGACUGCGUACCUUUUGUAUAAUGGGUCAGCGACUUAUAUUCUGUAGCAAGGUUAACCGUAUAGGGGAGCCGAAGGGAAACCGAGUCUUAACUGGGCGUUAAGUUGCAGGGUAUAGACCCGAAACCCGGUGAUCUAGCCAUGGGCAGGUUGAAGGUUGGGUAACACUAACUGGAGGACCGAACCGACUAAUGUUGAAAAAUUAGCGGAUGACUUGUGGCUGGGGGUGAAAGGCCAAUCAAACCGGGAGAUAGCUGGUUCUCCCCGAAAGCUAUUUAGGUAGCGCCUCGUGAAUUCAUCUUCGGGGGUAGAGCACUGUUUCGGCUAGGGGGUCAUCCCGACUUACCAACCCGAUGCAAACUGCGAAUACCGAAGAAUGUUAUCACGGGAGACACACGGCGGGUGCUAACGUCCGUCGUGAAGAGGGAAACAACCCAGACCGCCAGCUAAGGUCCCAAAGUCAUGGUUAAGUGGGAAACGAUGUGGGAAGGCACAGACAGCCAGGAUGUUGGCUUAGAAGCAGCCAUCAUUUAAAGAAAGCGUAAUAGCUCACUGGUCGAGUCGGCCUGCGCGGAAGAUGUAACGGGGCUAAACCAUGCACCGAAGCUGCGGCAGCGACACUAUGUGUUGUUGGGUAGGGGAGCGUUCUGUAAGCCGUUGAAGGUGUACUGUGAGGUAUGCUGGAGGUAUCAGAAGUGCGAAUGCUGACAUAAGUAACGAUAAUGCGGGUGAAAAACCCGCACGCCGGAAGACCAAGGGUUCCUGUCCAACGUUAAUCGGGGCAGGGUGAGUCGACCCCUAAGGCGAGGCCGAAAGGCGUAGUCGAUGGGAAACAGGUUAAUAUUCCUGUACUUGGUGUUACUGCGAAGGGGGGACGGAGAAGGCUAUGUUAGCCGGGCGACGGUUGUCCCGGUUUAAGCAUGUAGGCGGAGGUUCCAGGUAAAUCCGGUACCUUUUAACGCUGAGGUGUGAUGACGAGGCACUACGGUGCUGAAGUAACAAAUGCCCUGCUUCCAGGAAAAGCCUCUAAGCAUCAGGUAACACGAAAUCGUACCCCAAACCGACACAGGUGGUCAGGUAGAGAAUACCAAGGCGCUUGAGAGAACUCGGGUGAAGGAACUAGGCAAAAUGGUGCCGUAACUUCGGGAGAAGGCACGCUGAUAUGUAGGUGAAGUGAUUUACUCAUGGAGCUGAAAUCAGUCGAAGAUACCAGCUGGCUGCAACUGUUUAUUAAAAACACAGCACUGUGCAAACACGAAAGUGGACGUAUACGGUGUGACGCCUGCCCGGUGCCGGAAGGUUAAUUGAUGGGGUUAUCCGUAAGGAGAAGCUCUUGAUCGAAGCCCCGGUAAACGGCGGCCGUAACUAUAACGGUCCUAAGGUAGCGAAAUUCCUUGUCGGGUAAGUUCCGACCUGCACGAAUGGCGUAAUGAUGGCCAGGCUGUCUCCACCCGAGACUCAGUGAAAUUGAACUCGCUGUGAAGAUGCAGUGUACCCGCGGCAAGACGGAAAGACCCCGUGAACCUUUACUAUAGCUUGACACUGAACACUGGUCCUUGAUGUGUAGGAUAGGUGGGAGGCUUUGAAGUGUGGACGCCAGUCUGCAUGGAGCCAUCCUUGAAAUACCACCCUUUAAUGGCUGGUGUUCUAACGUGGACCCGUAAUCCGGGUUGCGGACAGUGUCUGGUGGGUAGUUUGACUGGGGCGGUCUCCUCCUAAAGAGUAACGGAGGAGCACGAAGGUUAGCUAAUCCUGGUCGGACAUCAGGAGGUUAGUGCAAAGGCAUAAGCUAGCUUGACUGCGAGAGUGACGGCUCGAGCAGGUGCGAAAGCAGGUCUUAGUGAUCCGGUGGUUCUGAAUGGAAGGGCCAUCGCUCAACGGAUAAAAGGUACUCCGGGGAUAACAGGCUGAUACCGCCCAAGAGUUCAUAUCGACGGCGGUGUUUGGCACCUCGAUGUCGGCUCAUCACAUCCUGGGGCUGAAGUAGGUCCCAAGGGUAUGGCUGUUCGCCAUUUAAAGUGGUACGCGAGCUGGGUUUAGAACGUCGUGAGACAGUUCGGUCCCUAUCUGCCGUGGGCGCUGGAGAAUUGAGGGGGGCUGCUCCUAGUACGAGAGGACCGGAGUGGACGCAUCACUGGUGUUCGGGUUGUCAUGCCAAUGGCAUUGCCCGGUAGCUAAAUGCGGAAGAGAUAAGUGCUGAAAGCAUCUAAGCACGAAACUUGCCCCGAGAUGAGUUCUCCCUGAGACUAUAAGUCUCCUGAAGGAACGUUGAAGACGACGACGUUGAUAGGUCGGGUGUGUAAGUGUAGCGAUACAUUGAGCUAACCGAUACUAAUGAACCGUGAGGCUUAACCUUACAACGCCGAAG